This 72-nucleotide transfer RNA is filed under the name Streptomyces tamarix. Its description in RNAcentral is "tRNA-Gln". It matches the Rfam family "tRNA". From Rfam's summary of the family: Transfer RNA (tRNA) molecules are approximately 80 nucleotides in length. Their secondary structure includes four short double-helical elements and three loops (D, anti-codon, and T loops). Further hydrogen bonds mediate the characteristic L-shaped molecular structure. tRNAs have two regions of fundamental functional importance: the anti-codon, which is responsible for specific mRNA codon recognition, and the 3' end, to which the tRNAs corresponding amino acid is attached (by aminoacyl-tRNA synthetases). tRNAs cope with the degeneracy of the genetic code in two manners: having more than one tRNA (with a specific anti-codon) for a particular amino acid; and 'wobble' base-pairing, i.e. permitting non-standard base-pairing at the 3rd anti-codon position. The record is from RNAcentral. Lineage: Bacteria; Bacillati; Actinomycetota; Actinomycetes; Kitasatosporales; Streptomycetaceae.
UGCCUCAUAGCCAAAUGGUAAGGCACUUCACUCUGAAUGAAGCGAUUUCUGGUUCGAAUCCAGAUGAGGCAG